Molecule: long non-coding RNA, 2189 nt
Organism: Ornithodoros turicata
Lineage: Eukaryota; Metazoa; Arthropoda; Arachnida; Ixodida; Argasidae
Exons: 2
Source: RefSeq, a predicted model, not a curated record
GAUUAACACCCUGCUCGGCCUGAUGUCCCCGUCGUUUGGUCAUGCCAUGCGCGUCUGUAAGGUGUUGAGGUCCGAGUUUUGGAGGCAAGUCAGAACCUUUGCUGAUUGGUUGCGGGUGAACUAUUUUGAGCAGCUUCCAGCGUGGGUGGCGGUCAGAAGGUAUGAGGCGCUGAGAGCACAGAUUGCACGCACGACCGAGGCCUUGUGGGGCGUUCAGCUGGCAGCGCUCCUUAGGGCGACCACGGCCCAGAUGCCUACACCGGUACGGCGUAAGGACCCGGUGGUUUUGGGUGAUGUCAGUCUUCCAGAGGAAGUUUCUUCCAUGCUCAGGAAAGGUCCCAAGUAUAGCCUUGAACCCGUCAUUCCCACGCAUGAGUUGCUGGCCCUCAACCGUCGUGUGGCUGAGAGGGCCCAACAGGAGGACAAGGGUAGGUGCACCGCAGAGGGUGUUGAGGUGAUGGAAAGGACCGUACGCCGCCCUCCGCAAAGAGGCAUAUGCCGCGUAGGCAAGGUGGUGGAGUUUUGCCGGAGCAAUGGGUUGCGCCUUCUGCAGUCUGACAAGGAAGGCGGGUUUGUUGUGCUCCCGGAGGGUGUAUUUGCAGAGAAGGCCGGGAGGGCCGUGGAGAAGAACUUCCGUCAAGUCCAAGUCUGUGAAUCGAGGGCCAGGAAGAUGGCGGCAGCGUUGUGUGACGACUGCUUUUGAAUUGCAACGCCUUGCUAAGGCAGUGAAGGGCAGCAAAAGCGGGACAUUGGCGAUGUUUUUCACAGCCAAGACGCACAAGCCUGAGGUACCGUUCCGGACAAUUGUCAGCGAAAAGGGCACUUGGCAGCUCCAUUGAGGAGUUCUGGUGAGGUCAUCGGCUUGCUGGAGGGAUUGACAUCAGUGGGAUAUCUGUUCUCCGUGGACGUGGUGGAUUUAUUCUAUUCUGUGCCUCACCAGGAACUGUUUUGUGCUGUCAGGGACUGCGUUGAGGUGAAUGGUGUGAUCGCCUUUCAGAAUGCUUCUGGGCUUGCCGUGAUAAUUUCAUGACUCUUUUGGAGUUCUAUUUGGGGGCGACGGUAGUGCAGCAUGAGGAUAGGCUGUUUUUGCAGCGUCGGGGUAUUUGCAUCGGGUCGUGUGUUGCGCCGGUUUUGUGUGACAUUUUUCUGUCCGAAAGGGUUGUCGUUCACGUCAGAGCUACAGGCGAAUGGGCGUAUACAGUUCCUGGACCUUAAUAUCCGUGUUGGGGAGAAGCGCUUGUGUUGGGCCUUCCACCCGAGGGCAAAGAAGGACCUGAUGCCUUUUGACUCGGCCCAAUCUAAGACUGUGAAGCGCGCUAUUGCUUUGCUCUGCUAGGAAUCCGCUUUAAAGAAGUCUUGUGAGCACGUUUUGUUGGAGAGUUUCACGGCCCAGGUUGACAGGUUGGGUGCUGCUGGAUUCCCCAAGGAAUCCAGCAUUUGGCGGCAUUUGGCAGCAAAUCAUAUGGCGUGAUGCUGGAUUCCCCACAAGGCUGUUGGCGAGUGUAGCCGAAGGCCUUCUCCAAAAGGUUAAAGGAAAGGUGCGGAAACCUAGGGGGGAAGUGGCGAGGGGUUCUACUAGAUGUAUGGUUGUUCCGUACGUGCACAGAGUAUCGCACAAUUUGAAAAGAGUGGCUAAUAGGUACGGUGUACCUAUGGUAUUUUCGGCACCUUGCAAGCUCUCGGGCCUUUGUUCGAAAGUUGAUCGUAGUAAGCCUAAAGUCUCUUGUGGCAGGAGCCAUCAGCACCAGUACGUUAGCUGUGCGGUGGGGGUAGUUUAUGAGAUCCCACUCACAUGCGAUAGGGUGUACAUUGGCCAGACUGGCCGGUGUGUUAACGACAGGGCCCGAGAUGAUGAAAGGUCUUUGUCUAGUGCGGACACGCGUCAUUUGCCUAUGCAUGUUACCAAAUGUAAGUGUACUCCGCUAUUUAGUCAGAUUGUCGUGCUAUCUAGGAGCACAGAUAAGGGUGCGCGGGAGUUAUCUGAAGCGUUUUUUAUCGGGGAUAGAGGCGGUAGGUGUGUGAGCCAAACUUCUGUGUCUUUGUUAUCGGGGGAGAGGAGGAUGUUGUCGCGGCGGUAGUGAUUGUGUCUGUCCGAGCGUCUGCGCUUUUGGACCAAGGUGGGGUGACUGGGUUGGCGGCUGUGCGCCUGCGUACUGGUUUUUGUGUUAUUAAACUGUUCGUUGGAGUCA